RNAcentral lists this unclassified non-coding RNA (189 nucleotides) under uncultured Chytridiomycota. RNAcentral's name for it is "sequence contains ITS1". Lineage: Eukaryota; Fungi; Chytridiomycota. The record is from RNAcentral.
ACAAUUAUUAUUGAACUCUCCCUCUCUUUUCCGGGGGGUGGAGGUUCUCUAACACUUGUGUGCACUGUUUAUUGUCUCUUGGCGUUCGAGGGGGUUGGGUAAUAACCCUUACCCCCUGAGCGUCAACUUUUAAACUUGAUUUUUAUUUAUAACUAUAAGCCUUUAAUUUUAAAUUUUAUAAUUUGAAAA